GUUUGGUAGAAUAAGUAAUGUUUUCCUACUUCUGUCCCUUCAAAACGUUGCUUCAAAGUUAUCGUAAAAAGGGGCUAGUAUUGCUUCAUCAAACGAUAUCGAUUUUAACACCACAAUAACAACUUCGUACGGAUCUUCGCUAAUGAUAUAAACACAAUAAGCUACGUACACAUGACGUAUGCAUUGCGGAACUUCGGACCAGAAAUUGUUGAUUAUUGUUUGCCAAAAAACCUAAAAAGACGUGGUGAAAUAACCAAGGAUAAACAGUUUACUAGAGUCAAAGUGAGGCUUUUUUUCGUUAAUUGUUGUAAUAUAGUUCGGGCCGUGUGUGUGUUCUUUUGCAUUGUUUCAUUCACUGUCAUCCCGGAUCCUGCUAUAGCCAACUAAACGGUAUGAGUUGUGCUAAUUGUUUAUUCGUUGAUCCCUGGUGAAUAGUUGUGUUCAUUGUUUAUUCGUUGGUCCCUGGUGGAUAGUUGUGUUCAUUGUUUAUUCGUUGGUCCCUGGUGGAUAGUUGUGUUCAUUGUUUAUUCGUUGUCCCUGGUGGAUAGUUGUGUUCAUUGUUUUAUUCGUUGGUCCCUGGUGGAUAGUUGUUUCCUUGUUUAUUCUUUGGUCCCUGGUGGAUAUGUUGUGUUCAUUGUUUAUUCGUUGGUCACUGGUGGAUAGUUCCUUGUUUAUUCGUUGGUCCUUGGUGGAAUGUUGUGUUCAUUGUUUAUUCGUUGGUCCCUGGUGAUUGUAUUGUUUUCAUUGUUUAUUUUUUGGUCCAUGGUGGAUAGUUAAGUUCAUUGUUUAUUCAUUGUUCCCUGGUAGAUAGUUGUCUCAUUGUUUAUUCGUUGGUCCCUGGUUGAUAGUUGUGUUCAUUGUUUAUUCGUUGGUCCCUUGUGGAUAGUUUUGGUCUCUUGUGGAUAGUUGAGUUCAUUGUUUAUUCGUUGGUCCCUGGUGGAUAGUUUUCUCAUUGUUUAUUCGUUGGUCCCUGGUUGAUAGUUGUGUUCAUUGUUUUAUUCGUUGGUCCCUGGUGGAUAGUUCAGUUCAUUGUUUAUUCGUUGGUCCCUGGUGGAUAGUUGUCUCAUUGUUUAUUCGUUGGUCCCUGGUGGAUAGUUGUCUCAUUGUUUAUUCGUUGGUCCCUGGUGGAUAGUUGUGUUCAUUGUUUAUUCGUUGGUCCCUGGUUGAUAGUUGUUCUCAUUGUUUAUUCGUUGGUCCCUGGUGGAUAGUUG
Molecule: long non-coding RNA, 1211 nt
Filed under: Mytilus galloprovincialis (Mediterranean mussel)
Lineage: Eukaryota; Metazoa; Mollusca; Bivalvia; Mytilida; Mytilidae
Source: RNAcentral